Non-coding RNA from Nelumbo nucifera (sacred lotus), 689 nucleotides. The record is from RefSeq and is a predicted model, not a curated record. NCBI's taxonomy places the organism in Eukaryota, Viridiplantae, Streptophyta, Magnoliopsida, Proteales, Nelumbonaceae.
UCUCUCUCUCUCUCUCUCUCUCAUGGAUCGUUGAGAUACAGCUGCAAACACGCAGGCAAGCUGGCCUAAUGGGAACCCCGUCUUAAUAGAGUAACAGGCACCAGGUGGGGCCCACCAUCUGGUGUGCAAAGCCUCUCCGCACCUUUCCUUUUCAUGUUGCCCAAGAAUAGAAGAAAGACGGUAUGGGAAUGUACAAAGACAGAAAUAUUGUAGAUGAUAUGGAAAGAGAGAUGCUAGAAUAUUUGAUGAUAAGCAUGGUCGAGGAAUUGUGGACAGCAUUUCAAUCAAAAUGGCGCAUUGGAUUAAAACCUUAGAAUCUUUUGCCCCUUUGUCCAAAGAUGGCAUCCCUAGGAGUUGACAGCACAUGGCAUCCUCUUCCACAACAAGAUCUACUCCCUUAGGGCAAUGGAACCCUCUAACACAUAACAGAUCAAGUUAAACUUUGACAGGUGCAACAUGGCUAAUCCUAGGCUGAGGCAUUGGGGGAGUUCCUAGCAAAUAACAAGAGAUUAUGUUAGCCACUUUCAAAUCCAGUAGGCAUUAGACGUUCUACAAAAGCUUAAGCUUAGCAGUAUUGUGGGGUUUGAGGUUGAGUAGAACGACUCAACAUCUGGAACAUAGUGGUAGAAAGGGACUCUAAAGUGGUACAAACUUUAGUGAAAGUUUUUGGUGAUAAAGAGAUGUUAUAA